Nicotiana attenuata is the source of this 192-nucleotide long non-coding RNA. RefSeq lists it as uncharacterized. The transcript has 2 exons. NCBI's taxonomy places the organism in Eukaryota, Viridiplantae, Streptophyta, Magnoliopsida, Solanales, Solanaceae. The record is from RefSeq and is a predicted model, not a curated record.
AAAAAAAGUUGCCAAAACCUAUGGCCAAACGGGAGCUAAAGGUGGUUAAAAUUUGGUUGAGGUUGUUUUGAGUGAGUGAAUUACGUGAAUUUCCUUUUUCUCAUUAAUUAGUACAUUUAUCCCCUUUUCAAUUUUGAUUUUUUCUCCUCUACACUUGCUCAUUAUUUUUCUAUUUAUGACGAUUUUUUCCCU